GUGCUCGCUUUGGCAGCACAUAUACUAAAAUUGGAACGAUACAGAGAAGAUUAGCAUGGCCCCUGCGCAAGGAUAAAAAAAAAAAUGCAAACUCUC
Small nuclear RNA from Mustela putorius furo (domestic ferret), 96 nucleotides. NCBI's taxonomy places the organism in Eukaryota, Metazoa, Chordata, Mammalia, Carnivora, Mustelidae. The record is from Ensembl.